GACGAACGCUGGCGGCGUGCCUAAUACAUGCAAGUAGAACGCUGAAGGAGGAGCUUGCUUCUCUGGAUGAGUUGCGAACGGGUGAGUAACGCGUAGGUAACCUGCCUGGUAGCGGGGGAUAACUAUUGGAAACGAUAGCUAAUACCGCAUAAGGGUAGAUGUUGCAUGACAUUUGCUUAAAAGGUGCAAUUGCAUCACUACCAGAUGGACCUGCGUUGUAUUAGCUAGUUGGUGGGGUAACGGCUCACCAAGGCGACGAUACAUAGCCGACCUGAGAGGGUGAUCGGCCACACUGGGACUGAGACACGGCCCAGACUCCUACGGGAGGCAGCAGUAGGGAAUCUUCGGCAAUGGACGGAAGUCUGACCGAGCAACGCCGCGUGAGUGAAGAAGGUUUUCGGAUCGUAAAGCUCUGUUGUAAGAGAAGAACGAGUGUGAGAGUGGAAAGUUCACACUGUGACGGUAUCUUACCAGAAAGGGACGGCUAACUACGUG
Molecule: ribosomal RNA, 495 nt
Filed under: uncultured bacterium
Lineage: Bacteria
Description: partial 16S ribosomal RNA
Rfam family: Bacterial small subunit ribosomal RNA
Source: RNAcentral